CNUUCUCNUAAACUUNGNGUAGCGUAUAAGGUUAAUGUUUGUUUAAAAAAACAAAAAGUCGAUAGACACAGUUGAAACACCUUUCUUAGUUUUAUGUUAAUGUUCACCUAAUCAUGGUUAGGGAUAAAUGACUAAUUGGCAGUUUGUCUGGGGCGGACGUCUUUAAUAGAGUAUCAGAGACAUCCACAAGGUAUGUAUUAAAUUGGAUGGAGACCAAGAAAGCCAUGAACGGCACAAUAAGGUAUAAUGACUUAAGCAUGCUUAACUGAGAGACCUAUAAGUCAAACAGAUACNUAAGUAGGGCAUAAUGANCCGGCGG
RNAcentral lists this ribosomal RNA (319 nucleotides) under Rhizoctonia solani. RNAcentral's name for it is "partial large subunit ribosomal RNA". It matches the Rfam family "Bacterial large subunit ribosomal RNA", at positions 2120 to 2426 of the family's 2925-position model. The record is from RNAcentral. Lineage: Eukaryota; Fungi; Basidiomycota; Agaricomycetes; Cantharellales; Ceratobasidiaceae.